UACGUAGGGAGCAAGCGUUGUUCGGAUUUACUGGGCGUAAAGGGCGCGUAGGCGGCCUGUCAAGUCAACUGUGAAAUCUCCGGGCUUAACUCGGAACGGUCAGUUGAUACUGUCAGGCUAGAGUGCAGAAGGGGCAAUCGGAAUUCUUGGUGUAGCGGUGAAAUGCGUAGAUAUCAAGAGGAACACCUGAGGUGAAGACGGGUUGCUGGGCUGACACUGACGCUGAGGCGCGAAAGCCAGGGGAGCAAACGGG
Molecule: ribosomal RNA, 253 nt
Filed under: uncultured bacterium
Lineage: Bacteria
Also listed under: 2 other names
Description: partial 16S ribosomal RNA
Rfam family: Bacterial small subunit ribosomal RNA
Source: RNAcentral